GUGCUUAACACAUGCAAGUCGAACGGAAAGGCCCUGCUUUUGUGGGGUGCUCGAGUGGCGAACGGGUGAGUAACACGUGAGUAACCUGCCCUUGACUUUGGGAUAACUUCAGGAAACUGGGGCUAAUACCGGAUAGGAGCUCCUGCUGCAUGGUGGGGGUUGGAAAGUUUCGGCGGUUGGGGAUGGACUCGCGGCUUAUCAGCUUGUUGGUGGGGUAGUGGCUUACCAAGGCUUUGACGGGUAGCCGGCCUGAGAGGGCGACCGGCCACAUUGGGACUGAGAUACGGCCCAGACUCCUACGGGAGGCAGCAGUGGGGAAUAUUGCACAAUGGGCGGAAGCCUGAUGCAGCAACGCCGCGUGCGGGAUGACGGCCUUCGGGUUGUAAACCGCUUUCGCCUGUGACGAAGCGUGAGUGACGGUAAUGGGUAAAGAAGCACCGGCUAACUACGUGCCAGCAGCCGCGGUGAUACGUAGGGUGCGAGCGUUGUCCGGAUUUAUUGGGCGUAAAGGGCUCGUAGGUGGUUGAUCGCGUCGGAAGUGUAAUCUUGGGGCUUAACCCUGAGCGUGCUUUCGAUACGGGUUGACUUGAGGAAGGUAGGGGAGAAUGGAAUUCCUGGUGGAGCGGUGGAAUGCGCAGAUAUCAGGAGGAACACCAGUGGCGAAGGCGGUUCUCUGGGCCUUUCCUGACGCUGAGGAGCGAAAGCGUGGGGAGCGAACAGGCUUAGAUACCCUGGUAGUCCACGCUGUAAACGGUGGGUACUAGGUGUGGGGUCCAUUCCACGGGUUCCGUGCCGUAGCUAACGCUUUAAGUACCCCGCCUGGGGAGUACGGCCGCAAGGCUAAAACUCAAAGGAAUUGACGGGGCCCCGCACAAGCGGUGGAGCAUGCGGAUUAAUUCGAUGCAACGCGUAGAACCUUACCUGGGUUUGACAUGGAUCGGGAGUGCUCAGAGAUGGGUGUGCCUCUUUUGGGGUCGGUUCACAGGUGGUGCAUGGCUGUCGUCAGCUCGUGUCGUGAGAUGUUGGGUUAAGUCCCGCAACGAGCGCAACCCUUGUUCACUGUUGCCAGCACGUUAUGGUGGGGACUCAGUGGAGACCGCCGGGGUCAACUCGGAGGAAGGUGGGGAUGACGUCAAGUCAUCAUGCCCCUUAUGUCCAGGGCUUCACGCAUGCUACAAUGGCUGGUACAGAGAGUGGCGAGCCUGUGAGGGUGAGCGAAUCUCGGAAAGCCGGUCUCAGUUCGGAUUGGGGUCUGCAACUCGACCUCAUGAAGUCGGAGUCGCUAGUAAUCGCAGAUCAGCAACGCUGCGGUGAAUACGUUCCCGGGGCUUGUACACACCGCCCGUCAAGUCAUGAAAGUUGGUAACACCCGAAGCCGGUGGCCUAACCGUUGUGGGGGAGCCGUCGAAGGUGGGACUGGUGAUUAGGACUAAAUC
Molecule: ribosomal RNA, 1436 nt
Filed under: uncultured organism
Description: partial small subunit ribosomal RNA
Rfam family: Bacterial small subunit ribosomal RNA
Source: RNAcentral